RNAcentral lists this ribosomal RNA (497 nucleotides) under uncultured bacterium. RNAcentral describes it as "partial 16S ribosomal RNA". It matches the Rfam family "Bacterial small subunit ribosomal RNA", at positions 28 to 507 of the family's 1533-position model. The record is from RNAcentral.
GAUGAACGCUGGCGGCGUGCCUAAUACAUGCAAGUCGAGCGAACGGACGAGAAGCUUGCUUCUCUGAUGUUAGCGGCGGACGGGUGAGUAACACGUGGAUAACCUACCUAUAAGACUGGGAUAACUUCGGGAAACCGGAGCUAAUACCGGAUAAUAUUUUGAACCGCAUGGUUCAAAAGUGAAAGACGGUCUUGCUGUCACUUAUAGAUGGAUCCGCGCUGCAUUAGCUAGUUGGUAAGGUAACGGCUUACCAAGGCAACGAGGCAUAGCCGACGUGUGAGGGUGAUCGGCCACACUGGAGCUGAGACGCGGUCCAGACUCCUGAGGGAGGCAGCAGUAGGGAAUCUGCCGCAAUAGGCGAGAGCCUGACGGAGCAACGCCGAGUGAGUGAUGGAGGUCUUCGGAUCGUAAAACUCUGUUAUUAGGGAAGAACAUAUGUGUAAGUAAAUGUGCACAGCGUGACGGUACCUAAUCAGAAAGCAACGGCUAACUACGUG